Molecule: ribosomal RNA, 467 nt
Filed under: uncultured bacterium
Lineage: Bacteria
Description: SSU rRNA
Rfam family: Bacterial small subunit ribosomal RNA
Source: RNAcentral
AGGACGAACGCUGGCGGCGUGCUUAACACAUGCAAGUCGAACGAGGUGCUUGCACCUAGUGGCGAACGGGUGAGUAACACGUGAGCAACCUACCCUUGGCUCUGGGAUAGCCUCCGGAAACGGGGAUUAAUACCGGACAUGACCUGUGACGGCAUCUUCACGGGUGGAAAGUUUUUCGGCCAGGGAUGGGCUCGCGGCCUAUCAGCUAGUUGGAGGGGUAACGGCCCACCAAGGCGACGACGGGUAGCCGGCCUGAGAGGGCGACCGGCCACACUGGGACUGAGACACGGCCCAGACUCCUACGGGAGGCAGCAGUGGGGAAUAUUGCACAAUGGGGGAAACCCUGAUGCAGCGACGCCGCGUGCGGGAUGAAGGCCUUCGGGUUGUAACCGCUUUCACCAGGGACGAAGCGAGAGUGACGGUACCGUGGGGAAGAAGCGCCGGCUAACGUACGCGCCAGCAGCCGC